This is a small nuclear RNA of Grammomys surdaster, 104 nucleotides long. Lineage: Eukaryota; Metazoa; Chordata; Mammalia; Rodentia; Muridae. The record is from RefSeq and is a predicted model, not a curated record.
AUUUGCUUUAGCACUGUAUACAUAUUUAAAUUGGGACACUACAGAGGUUAGCAUGGCUCCUCCACAAGGAUGACACACAAGUCUGUGAAGUGUUUUAUGUUUUU